This 988-nucleotide ribosomal RNA is filed under the name Colletotrichum gloeosporioides. RNAcentral's name for it is "SSU rRNA". It matches the Rfam family "Eukaryotic small subunit ribosomal RNA", at positions 59 to 1061 of the family's 1831-position model. Lineage: Eukaryota; Fungi; Ascomycota; Sordariomycetes; Glomerellales; Glomerellaceae. The record is from RNAcentral.
GCUAGUUAGCAAUUAUACAGCGAAACUGCGAAUGGCUCAUUAUAUAAGUUAUCGUUUAUUUGAUAGUACCUUACUACUUGGAUAACCGUGGUAAUUCUAGAGCUAAUACAUGCUAAAAAUCCCGACUUACGAAGGGAUGUAUUUAUUAGAUUAAAAACCAAUGCCCUUCGGGGCUCACUGGUGAUUCAUAAUAACUUCUCGAAUCGCAUGGCCUUGCGCCGGCGAUGGUUCAUUCAAAUUUCUUCCCUAUCAACUUUCGAUGCUAGAGUAGUGUUCUAGCAUGGUUACAACGGGUAACGGAGGGUUAGGGCUCGACCCCGGAGAAGGAGCCUGAGAAACGGCUACUACAUCCAAGGAAGGCAGCAGGCGCGCAAAUUACCCAAUCCCGACACGGGGAGGUAGUGACGAUAAAUACUGAUACAGGGCUCUUUUGGGUCUUGUAAUUGGAAUGAGUACAAUUUAAAUCCCUUAACGAGGAACAAUUGGAGGGCAAGUCUGGUGCCAGCAGCCGCGGUAAUUCCAGCUCCAAUAGCGUAUAUUAAAGUUGUUGUGGUUAAAAAGCUCGUAGUAGAACCUUGGGCCUGGCUGGCCGGUCCGCCUCACCGCGUGCACUGGUCCGGCCGGGCCUUUCCCCCUGUGGAACCUCAUGCCCUUCACUGGGUGUGUGGGAAAACAGGACUUUUACUUUGAAAAAAUUAGAGUGCUCCAGGCAGGCCUAUGCUCGAAUACAUUAGCAUGGAAUAAUAGAAUAAGGACGUGUGGUUCUAUUUUGUUGGUUUCUAGGACCGCCGUAAUGAUUAAUAGGGACAGUCGGGGGCAUCAGUAUUCAAUUGUCAGAGGUGAAAUUCUUGGAUUUAUUGAAGACUAACUACUGCGAAAGCAUUUGCCAAGGAUGUUUUCAUUUAUCAGGAACGAAAGUAAGGGGAUCGAGACGAUCAAAUACCGUCGUAGUCUUACCAUAAACUAUGCCGACAAGGGAUCGGAAGAA